This 63-nucleotide ribosomal RNA is filed under the name Hyphodermella rosae. RNAcentral describes it as "partial 28S ribosomal RNA". Lineage: Eukaryota; Fungi; Basidiomycota; Agaricomycetes; Polyporales; Phanerochaetaceae. The record is from RNAcentral.
CUUAGUGUCGCGCUUCUAACCGUCCUUCAGUUGGACAACUUAUCUGACAUCNGGCCUCAAAUC